This 497-nucleotide ribosomal RNA is filed under the name uncultured bacterium. Its description in RNAcentral is "partial 16S ribosomal RNA". It matches the Rfam family "Bacterial small subunit ribosomal RNA", at positions 28 to 507 of the family's 1533-position model. The record is from RNAcentral.
GAUGAACGCUGGCGGCGUGCCUAAUACAUGCAAGUCGAGCGGACGGACGAUGAGCUUGCGGCUCUGAUGUUAGCGGCGGGCGGGUGAGUAACACGUGUAUAACCUACCUAUAUGACUGGGAUAACUUCGGGAAACGGUAGCUAAUAGCGUAUAAUAUUUUGAAGCGCAUGGUUCAAAAGUGAAAUACGGUCUUGCUGUCACGUAUAGAUGGAUCUGCGCUGCAUUAGCUAGUUGGUAAGGUAACGGCUUACCAAGGCAACGAUGCAUAGCCGACCUGAGAGGGGGAUAGGCGACCCGGGAACGUAGACAGCGUCAAGAGUCCUACGGGAGGCCGCAGUCGGGUACGUUACGCAGUAGGCGAGAGCCUGACGGAGCGACGCGGCGUGAGUGAUGAAGGCCUUCGGAUCGUAAAACCCUGUUAUUAGGGAAGAACCUAUGUGUACGGAACCGUGCCCAGCUUGACGGUACCUAGUAAGAAAGCCACGGCUAACUACGUG